GUGGCUAUGGUGUAGCGGUAACACUGCUCCCUGUGGAGGAGUCGUCGCCGGUUCAAAUCCGACUAGCCACCCCA
RNAcentral lists this transfer RNA (74 nucleotides) under Candidatus Nealsonbacteria bacterium CG03_land_8_20_14_0_80_36_12. RNAcentral describes it as "tRNA-His". It matches the Rfam family "tRNA". From Rfam's summary of the family: Transfer RNA (tRNA) molecules are approximately 80 nucleotides in length. Their secondary structure includes four short double-helical elements and three loops (D, anti-codon, and T loops). Further hydrogen bonds mediate the characteristic L-shaped molecular structure. tRNAs have two regions of fundamental functional importance: the anti-codon, which is responsible for specific mRNA codon recognition, and the 3' end, to which the tRNAs corresponding amino acid is attached (by aminoacyl-tRNA synthetases). tRNAs cope with the degeneracy of the genetic code in two manners: having more than one tRNA (with a specific anti-codon) for a particular amino acid; and 'wobble' base-pairing, i.e. permitting non-standard base-pairing at the 3rd anti-codon position. Lineage: Bacteria; Candidatus Nealsoniibacteriota. The record is from RNAcentral.